This 1194-nucleotide ribosomal RNA is filed under the name metagenome. Its description in RNAcentral is "SSU rRNA". It matches the Rfam family "Eukaryotic small subunit ribosomal RNA", at positions 558 to 1790 of the family's 1831-position model. The record is from RNAcentral.
AGUCUGGUGCCAGCAGCCGCGGUAAUUCCAGCUCCAAUAGCGUAUAUUAAAGUUGUUGCGUCUAAAAAGCUCGUAGUUUGAAAACUUGCCUUGGCUUACAACAGACGUCUAAGGGCGUCACCGUUUGUCGAGAGCAAAUAUGGGUGACUGUUCUUGCCUUCUUCUCUGAUUGGCUCGUAAAAGUCAUCGAAGAUCACUUUGAUUAAAUUAGGGUGCUCAAAGCAAGUGUGCUACUUGAAUAUGAAUGCAUGGAAUGAUGGAAUAUGUUGUUGUUCUAUUUGUUGGUUUUUUGAAUGACGAAAUGAUUGAAAGGAACUGUUGGGGGCAUUCGUAUUGUUGUGAGAGAGGUGAAAUUCUUAGACCAUAGCAAGACGAACUACUGCGAAAGCAUUUGCCAAGAAUGUUUUCAUUGAUCAAGAACGAAAGUUAGAGGUUCGAAGGCGAUCAGAUACCGCCCUAGUUCUAACCAUAAACUAUGCCGACUAGCAAUUUGCUUUGUAUUUUUAUGACUAAGUGAGAGGCCACGGGAAACCAAAGUAGGGUUAUGGGGGAAGUAUGGUUGCAAAGCUGAAACUUAAAGGAAUUGACGGAAGGGCACCACCAGGAGUGGAGCCUGCGGCUUAAUUUGACCCAACACGGGAAAACUUACCUGGUCCUGACACUAGAAGGAUUGACAGAUUGAUAGCUCUUUCUUGAUUUGGUGGAUGGUGGUGCAUGGCCGUUCUUAGUUGGUGGAGUGAUUUGUCUGGUUAAUUCCGAUAACGAACGAGACUCUAGCCUAUUAAAUAAUAUGCGGAAUCAAUUUCUCCCGCGUUAUUUCUUAAUGGGAUCAAGCGUGUUUAACGCUUUGAAACAGAGCAAUAACAGGUCUGUGAUGCCCUUAGAUGUUCGGGGCUGCACGCGCGCUACAUUGAAGAACAAAGUGAGCCCUCUGGCUUUUAACAAAGCUAGAAAUCUUUUAAUGUUCUUCUUAAUGGGGAUAGGGGAUUGCAAUUGUGCCCCUUGAACGAGGAAUUCCCAGUAAGUGCUAGUCAUUAGCUAGUACUGAUUACGUCCCUGCCCUUUGUACACACCGCCCGUCGCUACUACCGAUUGAAUAGUUUAGUGAGAUCAUCUGAGUGUUUGUAUGUGCAUUCUGUGCUUGUAUGGUGUACGAAGAAGAUCAAACUUGAUUAUUUAGAGGAAGUAAAAGUC